Molecule: ribosomal RNA, 880 nt
Filed under: Psychrobacter sp. GN87
Lineage: Bacteria; Pseudomonadati; Pseudomonadota; Gammaproteobacteria; Moraxellales; Moraxellaceae
Description: bacterial SSU rRNA
Rfam family: Bacterial small subunit ribosomal RNA
Source: RNAcentral
GCGUAAGCGAGCGUAGGUGGCUUGAUAAGUCAGAUGUGAAAUCCCCGGGCUUAACCUGGGAACUGCAUCUGAUACUGUUAAGCUAGAGUAGGUGAGAGGGAAGUAGAAUUCCAGGUGUAGCGGUGAAAUGCGUAGAGAUCUGGAGGAAUACCGAUGGCGAAGGCAGCUUCCUGGCAUCAUACUGACACUGAGGCUCGAAAGCGUGGGUAGCAAACAGGAUUAGAUACCCUGGUAGUCCACGCCGUAAACGAUGUCUACUAGUCGUUGGGUCCCUUGAGGACUUAGUGACGCAGCUAACGCAAUAAGUAGACCGCCUGGGGAGUACGGCCGCAAGGUUAAAACUCAAAUGAAUUGACGGGGGCCCGCACAAGCGGUGGAGCAUGUGGUUUAAUUCGAUGCAACGCGAAGAACCUUACCUGGUCUUGACAUACACAGAAUCUUGUAGAGAUACGAGAGUGCCUUCGGGAAUUGUGAUACAGGUGCUGCAUGGCUGUCGUCAGCUCGUGUCGUGAGAUGUUGGGUUAAGUCCCGCAACGAGCGCAACCCUUGUCCUUAGUUACCAGCGGGUUUAAGCCGGGAACUCUAAGGAUACUGCCAGUGACAAACUGGAGGAAGGCGGGGACGACGUCAAGUCAUCAUGGCCCUUACGACCAGGGCUACACACGUGCUACAAUGGUAGGUACAGAGGGCAGCUACACAGCGAUGUGAUGCGAAUCUCAAAAAGCCUAUCGUAGUCCAGAUUGGAGUCUGCAACUCGACUCCAUGAAGUAGGAAUCGCUAGUAAUCGCGGAUCAGAAUGCCGCGGUGAAUACGUUCCCGGGCCUUGUACACACCGCCCGUCACACCAUGGGAGUUGAUUGCACCAGAAGUGGUUAGCCUA